This 570-nucleotide ribosomal RNA is filed under the name uncultured bacterium. Its description in RNAcentral is "partial 16S ribosomal RNA". It matches the Rfam family "Bacterial small subunit ribosomal RNA", at positions 355 to 914 of the family's 1533-position model. The record is from RNAcentral.
UGGGGAAUCUUCCGCAAUGGACGAAAGUCUGACGGAGCAACGCCGCGUGAGUGAAGAAGGUUUUCGGAUCGUAAAACUCUGUCUUUUGGGGCGAACGUGAGUAUGGUGAACAAUCAUAGUCAGUGACGGUACCAAAGGAGGAAGCCACGGCUAACUACGUGCCAGCAGCCGCGGUAAUACGUAGGUGGCAAGCGUUGUCCGGAAUUAUUGGGCGUAAAGAGCGCGUAGGCGGGAUAGUCAGUCUGUUGUAAAGUGCGGGGCUCAACCCCGUGAUCGCAAUGGAAACAGCUAUUCUUGAGUGCAGGAGAGGAAAGUGGAAUUCCCAGUGUAGCGGUGAAAUGCGUAGAUAUUGGGAGGAACACCAGUGGCGAAGGCGACUUUCUGGACUGUGUCUGACGCUGAGGCGCGAAAGCCAGGGGAGCGAACGGGAUUAGAUACCCCGGUAGUCCUGGCCGUAAACGAUGGGUACUAGGUGUGGGAGGUAUCGACCCCCUUUCCGUGCCGGAGUUAACGCAAUAAGUACCCCGCCUGGGGAGUACGGUCGCAAGACUGAAACUCAAAUGAAUUGAC